CAGAGAGAAGAAGGGUGAGAAUGAGAGGGGGAGGAAGAGUGAGAGGUAGGGGUAGAGCUGGUAGACAAGAUUAUGGCCAAAGAAGAAAACUUUCAGAUGAAAUCAGAGCAACCUUAGUUGAUCAUGUCAUCAACCAUGGGCUGACAAUGCGAGAGGCUGGACAGAGUGUGCAGCCUAACUUGAGCCGUUUUACUGUCGCCUGUGUCAUCCGGACAUUUAGACUGGAGUACAGGUAUGUAACCAACAUUUCUUUCACACUAUGUAGUACACCCGAUGUCAUAGUGUAUCAGUUGGGUGACACCUGUUUACUUCAUGAAUGGCUGAUGUCAUACACUAACUGCACAAAUUUCCUGUAGAAUUUACUCUAUUGUGGGGGAAAUAUCUUUAGGCUGCAUUGUCCAAGCCCUAUAUUUUAGUUUUUUUGUUUUUCUAAAGGACUGAGAGACGCAACCAUGGUGGAGGAAGGGGCCAAAUGUUCACCGGGGUACAGGAAGCUGCCAUUGUACACUUGGUUUUGGAAAAUAAUGAAAUCAGAUUACGAGAAAUUCAAAGCUACAUCAUCCAAGACAACACCAUAUUCAACAACAUUCAACGAGUCAGUCUGUCCACAUUGGCCCGCAUUCUCAAGCGAAACCAAAUCAGAAUGAAACAACUUUAUAAGGUGCCGUUUGAGAGAAACUCUCAAAGAAACAAAGAGGUCAGACGAGCAUAUGUGGAUGGAGCACUGGAAAUGGAUGCUCAUGCAAUCCCACAUGAGUUCAUCUUUAUAGAUGAGGCUGGGUUCAACCUAGCAAAGACCAGAAGGGGGAGAAACGUCAUUGGCCACAGAGCCAUUAUAGAUGUUCCUGGCCAACAUGGUGGGAACAUCACAAUGUGCGCUGCCAUCUCCAAUACGCAUGGUGUCCUCCACCGUCAUGCCAACCUUGGACCAUACAACACAGCCCAUAUUCUCACAUUUCUUGACAGACUCCACAACAUUCUCAUACCACCAGAGCGUAUGAAUGAUGCAGACCAUCAAAGAACCCAGCACGUUGUAGUAUGGGACAACGUGAGCUUUCAUCGUGCAGCCCCAGUCCAAAACUGGUUUGCUGACCACCCACCAUUUCUCGUGCAAUACCUCCCACCAUACUCACCAUUUCUGAACC
RNAcentral lists this long non-coding RNA (1145 nucleotides) under Salmo salar (Atlantic salmon). RNAcentral describes it as "lncRNA (ENSSSAG00000118553.1)". The record is from RNAcentral. Lineage: Eukaryota; Metazoa; Chordata; Actinopteri; Salmoniformes; Salmonidae.